Molecule: ribosomal RNA, 406 nt
Filed under: uncultured bacterium
Lineage: Bacteria
Description: bacterial SSU rRNA
Rfam family: Bacterial small subunit ribosomal RNA
Source: RNAcentral
AAUCAACGCUGGCGGCGUGCCUCAGACAUGCAAGUCGAACGCGAAAUUUCCCUUCGGGGAGAAAGUAGAGUGGCGCACGGGUGAGUAACACGUAGGUAAUUUGCCUUUGGGUGGGGAAUAACUCAGGGAAACUUGAGCUAAUACCGCAUAAUGCAGCGGCUCGACAUCGAGACAGUUGUUAAAGCGGGGGAUUGGAGCAAUCCGACCUCGCGCCUAAAGAGAAGCCUGCGGCAGAUUAGCUAGUUGGUAAGGUAAUGGCUUACCAAGGCGACGAUCUGUAACCGGCCUGAGAGGGCGGUCGGUCACACUGACACUGACAUACGGGUCAGACUCCUACGGGAGGCAGCAGUCGGGAAUUUUGGGCAAUGGGCGCAAGCCUGACCCAGCAACGCCGCGUGAAGGAUAG